This 470-nucleotide ribosomal RNA is filed under the name uncultured fungus. RNAcentral's name for it is "eukaryotic LSU rRNA". The stretch from base 106 to 259 matches the Rfam family "5.8S ribosomal RNA". Lineage: Eukaryota; Fungi. The record is from RNAcentral.
GCCUCGGCGGAUCAGCCCGCUCCCGGUAAAACGGGACGGCCCGCCAGAGGACCCCUAAACUCUGUUUCUAUAUGUAACUUCUGAGUAAAACCAUAAAUAAAUCAAAACUUUCAACAACGGAUCUCUUGGUUCUGGCAUCGAUGAAGAACGCAGCAAAAUGCGAUAAGUAAUGUGAAUUGCAGAAUUCAGUGAAUCAUCGAAUCUUUGAACGCACAUUGCGCCCGCCAGUAUUCUGGCGGGCAUGCCUGUUCGAGCGUCAUUUCAACCCUCAAGCACAGCUUGGUGUUGGGACUCGCGUUAAUUCGCGUUCCUCAAAUUGAUUGGCGGUCACGUCGAGCUUCCAUAGCGUAGUAGUAAAACCCUCGUUACUGGUAAUCGUCGCGGCCACGCCGUUAAACCCCAACUUCUGAAUGUUGACCUCGGAUCAGGUAGGAAUACCCGCUGAACUUAAGCAUAUCAAUAAGCGGAGG